GACGAACGCUGGCGGCGUGCUUAACACAUGCAAGUCGAACGGAAAGGCCCUGCUUUUGUGGGGUGCUCGAGUGGCGAACGGGUGAGUAACACGUGAGUAACCUGCCCUUGACUUUGGGAUAACUUCAGGAAACUGGGGCUAAUACCGGAUAGGAGCUCCUGCUGCAUGGUGGGGGUUGGAAAGUUUCGGCGGUUGGGGAUGGACUCGCGGCUUAUCAGCUUGUUGGUGGGGUAGUGGCUUACCAAGGCUUUGACGGGUAGCCGGCCUGAGAGGGUGACCGGCCACAUGGGAAUGGAGAUACGGCCAGGACUCAUAGGGGGGGAAGAGGUGGGGAUAAUUGCAAAAUGGGCGGAGGCUGGAUGCAGCAACGCCGCGUGCGGGAGGACGGCCUUCGGGUGGUAAACCGCUUUCGCCUGUGACGAAGCGUGAGUGACGGUAAUGGUAAAGAAGCACCGGCUAACUACGUG
RNAcentral lists this ribosomal RNA (467 nucleotides) under uncultured bacterium. Its description in RNAcentral is "partial 16S ribosomal RNA". It matches the Rfam family "Bacterial small subunit ribosomal RNA", at positions 28 to 507 of the family's 1533-position model. The record is from RNAcentral.